Molecule: long non-coding RNA, 326 nt
Organism: Clupea harengus (Atlantic herring)
Lineage: Eukaryota; Metazoa; Chordata; Actinopteri; Clupeiformes; Clupeidae
Exons: 3
Source: RefSeq, a predicted model, not a curated record
AAUCAAUGUAAUGAUGGUAAUGUACUUAACAUGUGUAAAACCUUUCAGUUGGAGAACAGAAUGAUUGUGACAAGGACAUUUUCCAAGGCAAUCGUUAACUACAGAUGUCUGUCAAAAGACGAGGCUGAACUCUUGGUCCUCUUCAUUAUGGACAACCAUAAUAAAGUUUUCCAGAUCCCAGCAUAUUUGCACAAUCUGGUUAGUGAAAAACUAGCUAGUAUUCAACAGGGGAAGGUUACAGGCACAUUUCCAGAACCUGUCCAGCAAUCAACACAUUUUGAGUUACUUCAGUUGCUCAGGACCAUUGAUGCGGACUCAAAGUAUAC